This 540-nucleotide ribosomal RNA is filed under the name Triticum aestivum (bread wheat). RNAcentral describes it as "partial small subunit ribosomal RNA". The record is from RNAcentral. Lineage: Eukaryota; Viridiplantae; Streptophyta; Magnoliopsida; Poales; Poaceae.
AUGGCUGCUACCAACCUAGAAUGCCUCCUGGCAAUGGUGGCAUGCGCCAAAGGUAUAGGCGUGCCACGUGGCUCUGGGAUGUUCAGACAGGCCUUGCGUGCCAUCGCAUUCCUCAGCCAGGACAAGAUCACCGCCAAAGUGGACUACUUGAAGAACACAUUCAGAUGGUCGGAUGCUGAGGUGGGCAUUGCUAUUUCUAAGGCUCCAACGUUGCUGACCAGGAAUAAGGAAUCGCUGCAGCGCAGUUCCGAGUUCCUCAUCUCUGAGGUGGGGUUGGAACCGGCAUCCAUUGCUCAAAGACCGAAUGUUCUCACUUACAGCCUAGUGGGCCGGCUGCGACCCCGACACCACAUUAUAAAGUUUCUCAAGGCAAAUGGAUUGCUCAAGCGGGACCUGAGCUACAAUACAAUUUUCAGUCUGGUCGAGAAGGUAUUUGUGGAGAAAUUCAUAUGCCCUUACAAGGAAGUUGCACAACACCUCGCUGAAGACUAUGCAGCUGCUUGCAGAGGGGAAGUGCCGACUAGACUCAGAUUUGCAUGA